RNAcentral lists this ribosomal RNA (800 nucleotides) under uncultured bacterium. Its description in RNAcentral is "bacterial SSU rRNA". It matches the Rfam family "Bacterial small subunit ribosomal RNA", at positions 8 to 792 of the family's 1533-position model. The record is from RNAcentral.
AGAGUUUGAUCAUGGCUCAGGAUAAACGCUGGCGGCGCCAUAAGACAUGCAAGUCGAACGGAAGCCGUUUUAAUGGAAGUGAAGAUUUAUUGGAACAGAAGUUAAAACAAUGACUUUAGUGGCGGACUGGUGAGUAACGCGUGAGCAACCUACCUGUUAGAGGGGAAUAACAGUGAGAAAUCAUUGCUAAUACCGCAUAAGCUAGCAAUGUUGCAUGACAUAGCUAGAAAAGGAGUAAUCCGCUAACAGAUGGGCUCGCGUCCGAUUAGCUAGUUGGUGGGGUAAAGGCUUACCAAGGCGACGAUCGGUAGCCGAGCUGAGAGGCUCUACGGCCACAUUGGGACUGAGAUACGGCCCAGACUCCUACGGGAGGCAGCAGUCGGGAAUAUUGCGCAAUGGAGGGAACUCUGACGCAGUGACGCCGCGUAUAGGAAGAAGGUUUUAGGAUUGUAAACUAUUUUAGACAGGGAAGAAAAAAGACUGUACCUGUAGAAUAAGCUCCGGCUAACUACGUGCCAGCAGCCGCGGUAAUACGUAGGGAGCAAGCGUUAUCCGGAAUUAUUGGGUGUAAAGGGUGCGUAGACGGGAAUUUAAGUUGGUUGUGAAAUCCCUUGGCUUAACUAAGGAACUGCAACCAAAACUGAAUUUCUUGAGUGCAGGAGAGGAAAGCGGAAUUCCUAGUGUAGCGGUGAAAUGCGUAGAUAUUAGGAGGAACACCAGUGGCGAAGGCGGCUUUCUGGACUGCAACUGACGUUGAGGCACGAAAGUGUGGGGAGCAAACAGGAUUAGAUACCCUGGUA